AAGUUUAGGAUAUUUAAACCAAGGGCCUUCAAAGCCCUAAACAAAGGGGCCUUCUAACUUCUG
Molecule: transfer RNA, 63 nt
Filed under: Phelsuma laticauda (broad-tailed day gecko)
Lineage: Eukaryota; Metazoa; Chordata; Lepidosauria; Squamata; Gekkonidae
Description: tRNA-Trp
Source: RNAcentral